This 1382-nucleotide small RNA is filed under the name Populus deltoides. RNAcentral describes it as "miR482-miR1448 polycistron non-coding RNA". Lineage: Eukaryota; Viridiplantae; Streptophyta; Magnoliopsida; Malpighiales; Salicaceae. The record is from RNAcentral.
CAGGUCCACUCUCCACUCUCAAUUAACGAUCAUAUAAGUUUUCAGUGGUUAUCAUAAUAAUAAAUACUUAGCUCUAACUUAAAAUUAUAGAGAAAAAAAACUCUUUAAUCCUAAGAUUUUACCGCAGCCCACCUACUAGAAUGCAUUUAGAAAUGCGGUGCAAAUCACGUUUUUAAAAAAUUUAAAUUGUUUUUAUUAAAAUUUAAUAUAUAUCAUGUCAAAAAUAAUUUUUAAAAAUAAAAAAAAUUAUUAAUAUACAUUUUAGUAUAAAAAAUUAAUUAAAAAACAGCAACUUCCGCGUUGCUAACUAAGCACGUUUUCAAACGCGUCUUUUUGAAACGGUGUUCAGAGGUUAACAAAAGCACUUUCUGUAAGAAGUAAUUUUUUCAAAAAUCAUAUCCAACGCACUUUGCUAGUUCGCUUUCUUUGCCUAUAUUAACACCAUCUAGAAAGCCAUCGUCUUCAACUUGCUCCUGUCUAUGGUGUGUAAUAGAUGAGAGAAACGGAGAGUCCUAGCAAGUCUUUGGAGAUGGGAGAGUAUGCAAGAAGAAAAAAUUCAUGAUUUAAUAUUCCUUCUUGCCUACUCCUCCCAUUCCAUCUGCUUUCUGCGACUCCUCUCUUUCCUUAUUCUAGACAAAAGCGUGAUCUAAAAUUAAUCAAGGAGCAAGAGGGAAAGGAAAGAGGGUUGCUGGGAGUUACGGGUAUGGGAGGAUUGGACAGUGCUGCUUGGUUUUAAUUAACCAAAGUCUGUUCUUUCCAACGCCUCCCAUACCGGUGAUCUCCAGCUUUUUCCUCCCUUUCCCUUGCUUGUCCUGCUUCAGAUCCUUCAGUUCGGUAAGAUCUGUCCUUGUAUGCUUGUCGUUGGUCACAUGAUGAUGUUGGUGAUGCGUGUUCUUCUUUUGUUUUUAAAAAAGAACAUCAUUUCGUUGACUUGUUAAUCUUGCUUUUACGCGGGAUAUUGUUACAUGUCUUGUAUGAUGAUUUUUAUUAGCCCUUUUUUUAUGCUCAGGUGACAAGCGAGUUGUUGGUUAUGGAGUAUCGUUGAAAAGAUUAGAGGAAGUUUUGAUCUGUUGGUAGAUCUGAGUAAAUCAUUUGUCAAUCCAGCUAGAUUUAAUAUUAGCAACUGAUAAAUCAUGUGUUUUGAAAUGACAACUGUGAUAUUCACAACAUAUCUGUUCGCGCCUCUUCGAUUCCGGGGAUGCUGUCUCAGUUGGCUCUAUACUGCAGUGCGUAAUUAGCUCUGAUGUUCCUUGAUUUGUUCUUUGAAUUUGGAAUUUAUUUUGAGCAUCUGUCCACGCGUUUCUUCUAUUAUGGAUGACCCCAACAUGAUUCAUACGAUGGGUGGAUGAAAUCAUGCAUAUCGGGUGUGGUCAGCUUUGUUU